UACAGAGGGUGCAAGCGUUAAUCGGAAUUACUGGGCGUAAAGCGCACGUAGGCGGUUCGUUAAGUCUGAUGUGAAAGCCCUGGGCUCAACCUGGGAAUUGCAUUGGAUACUGGCAGGCUAGAGUGCGGUAGAGGAUGGCGGAAUUCCCGGUGUAGCAGUGAAAUGCGUAGAGAUCGGGAGGAACAUCUGUGGCGAAGGCGGCCAUCUGGACCAGCACUGACACUGAGGCACGGAAAGCGUGGGGAGCAAACAGG
This 254-nucleotide ribosomal RNA is filed under the name uncultured bacterium. Its description in RNAcentral is "partial 16S ribosomal RNA". It matches the Rfam family "Bacterial small subunit ribosomal RNA", at positions 524 to 776 of the family's 1533-position model. The record is from RNAcentral.